RNAcentral lists this long non-coding RNA (1008 nucleotides) under Pogona vitticeps (central bearded dragon). RNAcentral describes it as "lncRNA (ENSPVIG00000011833.1)". Lineage: Eukaryota; Metazoa; Chordata; Lepidosauria; Squamata; Agamidae. The record is from RNAcentral.
CUAUUAUUAUUAUUAUUAUCAACAACGACGACGACAACGACGACGAUGAUGAUGACAACAACGACAACCCAAAGGAAGGAAAAGGAUGAGAUGAUGCUAGGAAAAGAAAGGACUGUUUCUUCAACAGCCCAACUCUCCCUACCAGGGUGGUGUGAUGGAAGAAAGAGCAGCCGACAGGUGAGGCCUGCUCAGGAUAUCCGAAAGCACAGAAAAACACAGAUAUUACUGCAGAACCUAGUACACUGAGGAAAACUAAUGAUGCACCAGGAAGAAGGCAACAUAAGUGGGUGCUUCUUCAUAGAUCCAGUCCCUGAGGUAUGUAAUCCUACAGCUACAAGCUAUUAUAGGAAACAGAGUGUUGAAUGAUACAGUGUAAGAGGAAAAUGUAUAACAACAAUGCAUCUCCUUUUAACUGCACAGCAUUCUUGCAACUUCAUAAUGACAUUUUUGGAACUAGGAAAAGACAGGAUCUAAGGGUCCUCAGUUCACAUGUAUCUCACUAACAAUGCACAGUUCAUACAGAAUACAUCCUUCCUACAUGCAAUCCAUUUCCAUGAAUUUCUUAGAUCCGUUUUUGCAGCUUGGUCUCCCAUGUUCAGGAGAAGGUGCACAUGAUAUUCUUAUUUUAAGUGGAGCCCAUUUAAUCCGUCAACCACUUGAGAUUAUCUUUUUCCCCCCACCCCCUGCCUGUCCACCCCCCCACUGAAACCCUGUUUUUCUUUUCCUCCUUCCCCCACCUCCUCGCCACUGCUUGACCAGCAGAACACACCUCUUUGGAAGCAAUGGGCAGCUGCUGAAUAAUCACUAUUCCCUCCAUCAAUUUGCCACGUAGGGUAGAUAGCCGGCUCAAAUGCUCAAACCCCCCGCCCCCCGAAUGCAGGAGAGCAGCUGAAUGAUCAAAGACACGUUUCUCAUGAAUCUCUCAUGAGGUUACUCUGUGGGACAUUCGCUACAUAAAUCAACCCAUAACGCACACCAUGUUAAAAUAAAAAAAACCAUGUACCUCCA